Long non-coding RNA from Gorilla gorilla gorilla (western lowland gorilla), 1952 nucleotides. RefSeq lists it as uncharacterized. The record is from RefSeq and is a predicted model, not a curated record. Lineage: Eukaryota; Metazoa; Chordata; Mammalia; Primates; Hominidae. The transcript is spliced from 8 exons.
UCGCAACGGUUCUGGGCGAUAGGGGCCGUUUUUGUCCCCCUUCUUCAGCAGAUGAGGGAAUUUGUUUCAAAAAGUUGUUACCUGCUCACGGAAACAGACGUCCUAAGCUAUUAGCACAAUCUCCAGCUGUGCUAAUCAAGACAGGAACCGAAGGGAACAGUAAAAAAUCAUUUUCCAUAAGUAAUGGGUAACUUAAGAGAUAAGGUAGUGUUUCAGAAACAGUCUUGUCCUUUUGGUGCUCAGGGACCCCCGCUAGAACUCAGCUGGCUCACGCUUGUUUACCUCCCUAGACCCAGGACCUUUUUUAUUCCCUGCCAAAAAAAAUACCUUACUUGACCGAUGUCACCCUUUGUGGCCCUCUACGUUUUUACUAUAUUGUUUAAAAAUAAAUUUGAUGGGAACAUUGCUAGAAAGGGCAAUUUACACAAGUGGAAGUGGACUUUAUAAAGUAUCACAAUGUUAAAAUUAGAUAUUGAUAACUACCGUGUUGUAUAAUAGAAUAUCCUUUUCCUUAAGAGAAAAACACAAGGGAUAGGGAAACACCGCAUGCUCCCUACUCUCAGAUGGUUAGGGAGUAACAUGUAUGUGUAUGUAUAUGUAGGUGGGGAAAAGAGAGGGACAAAGCAAAAUGGCGAAUGUUUAAAAGUACUGAAACUAGGUAUGGUAGUUCUAAGAUAUGUUCACAGAUUCAAUGAUAUUCCUCCCUGGAAGAGGUGGACUCUAAUUCCCCUCCCCUUGAGUGUAGACUAGGCUUAGUGACUCUUGAUAGAUCAAAACAGAAGUGGCAGUAUUGACUUCAGAGGCUAGGUCAUAAAAGGCACUGCAUCUUCCUUUGCGGGUCUCUUUUUCAUUCAUUUUGGGGCUUGGAGCCUGGGGAAGCCUGCUUCCGUGUUUUCAGGACACUCAAGCAGCCUAUGGAGAGAUCCAGUUGUCCAGGAACUGUAUGUAGCCUCCUACCAAAUGCCACGGAGUGAGUCACUUUGGAAGUAGAUCCUCCAACCUUGGUCAAGCCUUUGGCUGACUACAACUUCAUGAGAGACCUAGAGAGAUGGAGUUUCGCGAUGUUCGUCAGGCUGUUCUCAAACUCCUGACCUCUGCUGAUCCGCCCGCCUCUACCUCCCAAAGUGCUGGGAUUACAGGUGUGAGCCACUGCACCAGGCCUACUGCACUCCUUCUUGUGUGACAGAGUGCUGCGCUGGGUCUUUUUCUUUGGAAUUUUAAGAAGUUCUGUGAGCUGAAGACCAAUGACUUCCUACAAAUCUUGAAGGACUCCAGGACUCAUCACCAUAGCAGACCAUGCAUCCUUUUUAAGAUGCUUGAUGUCCAGGACUUUGAAACAGCUGAUUUCUUUUUAACCACCUCUCAAUAGGAUUCAUGGAAAAAACUCUGACAAGCACAGAUUUCUGAAAACUUUAAGGUCAUACCACUGGACUAGGUAAAGAAGAUAAAAUUUGGGAGCUUAAAACUUGGCAAAGAAGGAAAUCCUUUUGGCAAUAUCAUAAAGAGGCCCAUUAUCACCAGAAAAGAAGUGUAUAGUUUCUAACAGAUUUAUACAUUGGAAGUUGAUUUUGCUCCUAAUUUCAACAUGCCUAAUGAAAUAAAUAAUCAAAACAGUCUAAAAUUCUUCCUCCUCUCUGCCUCCUGCAAAAAGACAGCGUCUGGUAUUGUCCACCCAAGCUGGAGUGCAGUAGUAUGAACUUGGCUCACCGCAACCUCUGCUUCCUGGGCUCAAGCCAUCCUUCCACCUCAGCCUCUCAAGUAGCUGGGACUACAGGCUCACAUAACCACACCCUACUAAUUUUUGUAUUUCUUGUAGACAUGGGUUUUCAUGUUGCCCAGGAUGGUCUCAAACUCCUGAGCUCAAGCGAUCUGCCUGCCUUGGCCCCCCAAAGUGUGAAGAUUACAGGCAUGAGCCACUGCACCUGGCUGAUUUAAUAAAAUAUCUUGUAAUC